AGUAAGUAGUUAGAGAUAAGUGUUAUUGAAGUUAAUUUGAUUCUAUUGAUUGACAUCUAUAUAACUAUUGACGUAGUUAAAAUGUUUUGCUGGUGAUUUGAUGUUAAAUGUUUAAACUAAUAUCAAGACAAGUGGAGUAUUAUUAUUUUCAUAACAAGGGACAUGUAUAUUAUUUUCAUAAUUGAUUACAAAGACUAAGAUGAUAAUGGUAGAGAAGUCGAUGAGUAUAUUUUAAUAUUGGAAUUCUCAAUCUCUAUAUGAUUCUUCUUUCUAGUAGCGGCCUCCAAGUUGUCUUUAGGAAAUUACUUCAAAUUCUCACAUAUCCUUUUUUUUCUGAAUCCCAGUGCUUACUUUCUUCACCUAUUUCUAACAGCUUAAUAUUGGUUGGUUUGCUGAAAUUUAAGUGGUCUAAAGGAGUUAUCCCUGAUAUUUGGCCGAGUUCAAGACGGGUGCUGAACAUAAUUCAAAGGAAGUUAUCCCUACAAAGCUGCUCAGGUUUGUUUUCUUAUUUGCCUCCUUGAGUUUAUGCUUGAUCUGUUUUGUGUUUUGAUUGGGAUUUUACGGAUCUGUUUGCUGCGAUUUCAUCAUCCUAAUUUCUCACAGAUCUUCUAUUUUGUUUUGCAAGAUGAAAUCUUUUUGUUAUAUUUUCGAUAGAUUUGGCCUUAAUUAGCAACACAAUGACAUAAGAUGUUGAAAUGCUCUUCUGUAGUGAGUAAAUGACCGGCUGAUACACAACUGUAGGAACAUUUCCAGCUCCUGAUGUUUCUUUUGACCUGUUUUAAUUAUUCUGGUUCAGACUGUGGUUAUGGAUUCUCUUCAUGUACACGGGGUUAUUAGUUUAAUUAUGUCUCUGAUGCUGAAAAAUUGCUGAUUUUGUCUCUGUUUGUGGUAGCUAUAUUUGUUCAAUAUAAUCAAAGGUCUUUCUUAUAUCCAAGAGUUGGAAAUAAGUUGCCGGAUGAUGAUUAUUGAGUGAGUAAUGCACAGUGCUUAUAUAGAAAUAGAAGCAACAAGUAAAGAGUGCAAUGAAUCUAGCUGUGUUGGAGAAGUCAUUGUAAAUGAGCAGGAGAAGAGAUCUAUGAUGAGUUUUCUUUUCCUGAAUAUUUGGGUGCUAUACUUUGUUCUUUAUCUUAUAAACUUCUUUUAAAAAUUAAUAGUUAUGUGGGAUAUUAUGUGUAUGAUUUCGUUUCUAGACAUUUGUGUGAUUAUGAUUGACA
Molecule: long non-coding RNA, 1214 nt
Organism: Nicotiana tabacum (common tobacco)
Lineage: Eukaryota; Viridiplantae; Streptophyta; Magnoliopsida; Solanales; Solanaceae
Source: RefSeq, a predicted model, not a curated record